This 305-nucleotide ribosomal RNA is filed under the name uncultured bacterium. RNAcentral's name for it is "partial 16S ribosomal RNA". It matches the Rfam family "Bacterial small subunit ribosomal RNA", at positions 508 to 807 of the family's 1533-position model. The record is from RNAcentral.
ACAGCAGUCGCCGCGGGAACACGUAGGUGGCAAGCGUUAUCCGGAAUUAUUGGGCGUAAAGCGCGCGUAGGUUGUUUCUUAAGUCUGAUGUGAAAGCCCCCGGCUCAACCGGGGAGGGUCAUUGGAAACUGGGAAACUUGAGUGCAGAAGAGGAGAGUGGAAUUCCACGUGUAGCGGUGAAAUGCGUAGAGAUGUGGAGGAACACCAGUGGCGAAGGCGACUCUCUGGUCUGUAACUGACGCUGAGGAGCGAAAGCGUGGGGAGCGAACAGGAUUAGAUACCCCUGUAGUCCCUGUCUCUUAUAC